CCUAAGUCGGGACAUUCUGGUCCGGCUGGGAAACCACCCGGGUAAAAGGGAACACGGUGAGGUGUAGCCAACAGGCGCUGAAUCCGUGACUGCCCCCGCAACUGUGAGCGGAGAGCAAUGCUGCGGAAUGCCACUGCCCCAAGGGGCGGGAAGGCGCGGCAAAGCUUCGACCCGCGAGUCAGGAGACCUGCCAGGAUGAUCACCCUAUC
This 209-nucleotide non-coding RNA is filed under the name Leisingera methylohalidivorans. Lineage: Bacteria; Pseudomonadati; Pseudomonadota; Alphaproteobacteria; Rhodobacterales; Roseobacteraceae. The record is from RNAcentral.